Molecule: ribosomal RNA, 450 nt
Filed under: uncultured organism
Description: partial 16S ribosomal RNA
Rfam family: Bacterial small subunit ribosomal RNA
Source: RNAcentral
ACACUCCUACGGGAGGCAGCAGUGGGGAAUAUUGGACAAUGGGCGCAAGCCUGAUCCAGCCAUGCCGCGUGAGUGAUGAAGGCCCUAGGGUUGUAAAGCUCUUUCACCGGUGAAGAUAAUGACGGUAACCGGAGAAGAAGCCCCGGCUAACUUCGUGCCAGCAGCCGCGGUAAUACGAAGGGGGCUAGCGUUGUUCGGAUUUACUGGGCGUAAAGCGCACGUAGGCGGACUAUUAAGUCAGGGGUGAAAUCCCGGGGCUCAACCCCGGAACUGCCUUUGAUACUGGUAGUCUUGAGUUCGAGAGAGGUGAGUGGAAUUCCGAGUGUAGAGGUGAAAUUCGUAGAUAUUCGGAGGAACACCAGUGGCGAAGGCGGCUCACUGGCUCGAUACUGACGCUGAGGUGCGAAAGCGUGGGGAGCAAAUAGGAUUAGAUACCCUGGUAGUCCCAUG